UACGGAGGGUGCAAGCGUUAUCCGGAUUCACUGGGUUUAAAGGGUGCGUAGGUGGAUCGAUAAGUCAGUGGUGAAAGCCCCGAGCUCAACUUGGGAAUUGCCAUUGAUACUGUUGAUCUUGAGUGCGGUUGAGGUAGACGGAAUAUGGCAUGUAGCGGUGAAAUGCUUAGAUAUGACAUAGAACACCAAUUGCGAAGGCAGUUUACCAAGCCGAUACUGACACUGAUGCACGAAAGCGUGGGGAUCAAACAGG
Molecule: ribosomal RNA, 253 nt
Filed under: uncultured bacterium
Lineage: Bacteria
Description: partial 16S ribosomal RNA
Rfam family: Bacterial small subunit ribosomal RNA
Source: RNAcentral